UGAAUUUCAGGAUGUGGUAUUUUGGUC
This 27-nucleotide non-coding RNA is filed under the name Bombyx mori (domestic silkworm). Lineage: Eukaryota; Metazoa; Arthropoda; Insecta; Lepidoptera; Bombycidae. The record is from RNAcentral.